Molecule: ribosomal RNA, 371 nt
Filed under: uncultured bacterium
Lineage: Bacteria
Description: bacterial SSU rRNA
Rfam family: Bacterial small subunit ribosomal RNA
Source: RNAcentral
GGAGGGUGCAAGCGUUAAUCGGAAUUACUGGGCGUAAAGCGUGCGUAGGUGGUUCGUUAAGUCCGUUGUGAAAGCCCCGAGCUCAACUUGGGAAUUGCAGUGGAUACUGGCGAGCUGGAGUGCAGUAGAGGAAGGUGGAAUUCCCGGUGUAGCGGUGAAAUGCGUAGAGAUCGGGAGGAACACCAGUGGCGAAGGCGGCCUUCUGGACCAGCACUGACACUCAAGCACGAAAGCGUGGGGAGCAAACAGGAUUAGAUACCCUGGUAGUCCACGCCCUAAACGAUGCGAACUGGAUGUUGGGCACACUACGGUGCUCAGUGUCGAAGCUAACGCGUUAAGUUCGCCGCCUGGGGAGUACGGUCGCAAGACUG